UUGACGGGGAGCACUACAACGGGUGGAGCCUGCGGUUUAAUUGGACUCAACGCCGGAAAACUCACCGGGGCGACAGCAAUAUGUAGGUCAAGCUAAAGACUUUACCAGAAUCGCUGAGAGGAGGUGCAUUGGCCGUCGUCAGUUCGUACUGUGAAGCAUCCUGUUAAGUCAGGCAACGAGCGAAACCCGUGCCCACUGUUGCCAGCAUGUCCUUCGGGAUGAUGGGUACUCUGUGGGGACCGCCGAUGCUAAAUCGGAGGAAGGUGCGGGCUACGGUAGGUCAGUAUGCCCCGAAUCUCCCGGGCUACACGCGGGCUACAAUGACUGGGACAAUGGGCUCCUACCCCGAAAGGGGAUGGUAAUCUCAUAAACCCAGCCUUAGUUCGGAUCGAGGGCUGUAACCCGCCCUCGUGAAGCUGGAAUCCGUAGUAAUCGCGUUUCAACAUAGCGCGGUGAAUACGUCCCUGCUCCUU
Molecule: ribosomal RNA, 473 nt
Filed under: uncultured Methanomethylovorans sp.
Lineage: Archaea; Methanobacteriati; Methanobacteriota; Methanomicrobia; Methanosarcinales; Methanosarcinaceae
Description: bacterial SSU rRNA
Rfam family: Archaeal small subunit ribosomal RNA
Source: RNAcentral